UAUCUAUCUGAAUUCAGAUUAAUUUCAAAGUGACUCUUAGUUUACUAAUAGUAUUUUAUGCAGGUUAAAUGUCACAUUUGUUCGACAGAACUUUCCUAUUUGAACAAAACUAACUCAUAGUGUGUUGACCCCAAGAACAAGACCCCAGAUUUAAAUCACCCUGGUUCCUCCAAGUGCAAUGAGGGCAUCAGUAGACUGCAGUCAGAACAGCAGCUGUCUACACCCACUUCAGACAUGUUAUUUAGCGUUGUUUCUUGUUGUUUGGAAAUCAACUAAAAUUCCAGUUUGUUGUUUCUAGAUAACCUUUGGCAAGAUCUCCUCAUUGCAGUGGGCAGAGAGACCAAAUUUGUUUAAAAAAAAAGGCAUCCUCAUUCACAACAUGUUAACUUAGAUUUUCAUGUUAUGAUACAUGUCCACUUUAUCGACUGCAUCUAAAAAUAUCAAUUUUAAAUUUAAAUAUAUAUAAUUCAAAUGAAAAAAUACUAUGUAACAUACAAUGGCUUAAAUUAUAUUAUUGUAUAUAUUUGGUCAUCAAACCAGUGUCAGAUGAGUCCGUCAACUAUUACCUGUAGGGAUUUUUAAGGUCCAGCAGGUGUCAGUAUUCAGUGACACAGUAUCGGCACAGUAUCAAUACAGUAGGAUCAGGCGGUCUCAAGGUCAUAAAACAGGCAAAGUAGUUAUCAGACAGACUCGGUCGACAAGGCAGGCAAGGAUCAGGCGGUCUCAAGGUCAUAAAACAGGCAAAGUAGUUAUCAGACAGACUUGGUCGACAAGGCAGGCUAGGAUCAGGCAGGAAUCGGUAACAGAGGUCAAAGCAAGGUCAGGAUCACGAAUCAGAGAAAGAACAAGAACGCUGGAUAGUGGUGAGUACACGCAACAAUGUGGCAAGUGACUGGUGUGUGAUCUGGAGCCUAAAUACUGGAGCUUGAUUACAUGAUUACUAGCAGGUGUGUCUGACGUGGACCAGUGAUUGGCAUGAGAGCAGCUGUGGUGGUUAAAACAGGAAGUCCUUCAAAAUAAAACCGGAACUGAGACCA
RNAcentral lists this long non-coding RNA (1037 nucleotides) under Betta splendens (Siamese fighting fish). RNAcentral describes it as "lncRNA (ENSBSLG00000000684.1)". The record is from RNAcentral. Lineage: Eukaryota; Metazoa; Chordata; Actinopteri; Anabantiformes; Osphronemidae.